UGAGCAGGACCACUAACGGUUACUCUUUGACAACUGCCAGUUGCUCGCUUGGGGAAGGAGACCACUGUGUCACCGACCAAUGGCUGAACAGGAACCUCUAACCACAGCUCUAACCACCUCACAUCAGUGGUCUCCCGUUAGUGGUUUCACGGUAACCCGUUGCCUGUAAGAUCACAAGCCCUAUGCAGAGCUGUCUCCCAUUUCCACACAGCAAGUUCUCACCUUCAAGAGAUGCUACUAAAACGCUCAAAUGGAGAAGAAACCAGAAGGCCUAGAAA
Molecule: non-coding RNA, 278 nt
Organism: Odocoileus virginianus texanus
Lineage: Eukaryota; Metazoa; Chordata; Mammalia; Artiodactyla; Cervidae
Source: RefSeq, a predicted model, not a curated record